GAUGAACGCUGGCGGCGUGCCUAAUACAUGCAAGUCGAGCGAACAGACGAGGAGCUUGCUCCUCUGACGUUAGCGGCGGACGGGUGAGUAACACGUGGAUAACCUACCUAUAAGACUGGGAUAACUUCGGGAAACCGGAGCUAAUACCGGAUAAUAUAUUGAACCGCAUGGUUCAAUAGUGAAAGACGGUUUUGCUGUCACUUAUAGAUGGAUCCGCGCCGCAUUAGCUAGUUGGUAAGGUAACGGCUUACCAAGGCAACGAUGCGUAGCCGACCUGAGAGGGUGAUCCGGCCAACCGGAACUGAGAACACGUCCCGACUCCUAAGGGAAGCAGGCGUAGGGGAACCUUCCGCAAGGGGCGAAGGCUGAACGAACCAAGGCGGGUGGGUGAAGAAGGUUCUCCGGACCGAAAACCCUUUUAAUUGGGAAGAAAAAAAGGGUAAGGAAACUAUGCAGGUUUGGAGGGUACCAAACCAAAAAGCCACGGCUAACUACGG
This 497-nucleotide ribosomal RNA is filed under the name uncultured bacterium. Its description in RNAcentral is "partial 16S ribosomal RNA". It matches the Rfam family "Bacterial small subunit ribosomal RNA", at positions 28 to 506 of the family's 1533-position model. The record is from RNAcentral.